GAUUACAUACCCAUGUUCCUUUAUGCAUAUUCAUGUUCACAUGACUCAACGGUGGUUUAAGCAAAUGAAGUUGAACCAAACACCAAUGACUCAUUUGUGAGAGAAACUGAGAAUAUGAAUUCUAUUUUAAAUGGCAACGGAAACCAUAUAUUUAAAUAUAUACCUGAGAGCAGAUUUCUUUCCUUGAAACACCAAAUAGCAAAAGCAAAGUGUAGUACUUAUAAGACAGAGAAGCAUAUUCGAUGAGUCUGAGCUGUGCGUAAGGCUUAAUGAUAAUAACACUCAUUGAAAAAGUCCAGUUAUUACCUCGCUUUCGGGGUAAACCAAAGUGAUUCAGUAAAAGCCUGCAGUGAGCAUCAACACUUAGCCACAUGAUCAAAACUUCAAAAUGUUAUAGGAUUCAAAACUUCUCAUUACAAAUGAUAUAACUAAUACAUAAAAAGAUUUUACCUUCUUUGAUG
Molecule: long non-coding RNA, 461 nt
Filed under: Brassica rapa (field mustard)
Lineage: Eukaryota; Viridiplantae; Streptophyta; Magnoliopsida; Brassicales; Brassicaceae
Description: long non-coding RNA (BRAP_LNC007830)
Source: RNAcentral